This 776-nucleotide ribosomal RNA is filed under the name uncultured Neocallimastigales. Its description in RNAcentral is "partial large subunit ribosomal RNA". It matches the Rfam family "Eukaryotic large subunit ribosomal RNA", at positions 18 to 643 of the family's 3401-position model. Lineage: Eukaryota; Fungi; Neocallimastigomycota; Neocallimastigomycetes; Neocallimastigales. The record is from RNAcentral.
UCAGACGAUGCGUCAUGCAUAUCAAUAAGCGGAGGAAAAGAAACUAACAAGGAUUACCCCUAGUAACGGCGAGUGAAGCGGGAAGAGCUCAAAUUUGAAAUCUUAAAGGGUUUCCCUUUACGAAUUGUAGUUUAAAGAAGUGUUUUCUGUUGAGGUUUUGGUAAAAGUUCUUUGGAAUAGGACAUCAUAGAGGGUGAGAAUCCCGUAUUCGACCUUUACUUUCAACUUUGUGAUACACUUUCAAAGAGUCGGAUUGUUUGGGAAUGCAGUCCAAAAUGGGAUGGUAAAUUUCAUCUAAAGCUAAAUAUUGGCGAGAGACCGAUAGCGAACAAGUACCGUGAGGGAAAGAUGAAAAGAACUUUGAAAAGAGAGUUAAACAGUACGUGAAAUUGUCAAAAGGGAAGCGUUUGACACCAGUGUUGUUUUUCUGAAAAUCAAUUAAAGAACUGUUUAUGCUAAGCUGUUUAGACUUUAUCAGCUAUCUGUUUAGUUUUGAGCUUUUCUUUAAUGCACUUUUCAGUUAACAAGUCAACAUCAAUUUCUUUUGCUGUAAAAAAGCUUGAGGAAGGUGGCUUGAGAUUCGUCUUAAGUGUUUAUAGCCUCUUGCCUAUGCAGUCGGAGAGAUUGAGGUCUGCAGCGUAGAUCCUUCGGGGCUAAAUGCAUUUGUGCUAAGUUAUAGCAUUUUAUAGACAACUUGUUGACUAUGAUUUGUCUUGUAGCUUACUCGCUUAUGUUAUUUUACCUACGCUUAGGAUGUUGACACACGCGCGUGCUCG